RNAcentral lists this long non-coding RNA (2599 nucleotides) under Ananas comosus (pineapple). RNAcentral describes it as "long non-coding RNA (ACOM_LNC030163)". The record is from RNAcentral. Lineage: Eukaryota; Viridiplantae; Streptophyta; Magnoliopsida; Poales; Bromeliaceae.
GUUACACGUAGUUGUAAUUACAUUAAAAUUAGAAAUGCAUGCAAAUUCAAAUCUAUCAUUGGGUUUAAUUCAUUGGAAUUCAACUAUUGCAGUUGGAGCUGCACGAGGCUCAAAUGUAGCAGUUGGAACUGCAUGAGGAGACUCAAAUGCAGCAGUUAGAACUACGCCCAAAUUGAUUGUAGUUCCAACUGUAGUAGUUAAAGUGUGACGCCCCACCUUUUACAAAGAUCACAAAUCCUAGAACUAAUAUGAUUCUAGCACACUUUACCCUCUUAACCUCUUGUACCUAAUUACUGUCCAAAAUAUCAUAGCUGGAUUAAUAUGUAUAGCCCUAUUAUAUCUCAUAUGUAUGACUAUUUCAAAUCCUGAAGGUGUCGCGUUCCUCCCCCUUUAAGCCUUGAUGUACUUGUCAGGUUCAAGCACCGGGCGAUGUAAGAUUAUUCUAGUUAGCCUUGUCAUUCAAAUUUUGGCUCAAUAGAGACUUAACUUAUACAUUUGUUGGUGAUUCAUGACUUUGAUACUACCUAUGACACCCUGCUUUCUAGAGAGGCUACCCAUCACAAAACUACUCUAGCCCUUGCACCCUUAACCUCUUGAGCCUAACCACCGCUGAAAGUUGUUAUAUCCGGGAUAAGAGGUCUAGCACUAUUAUAUCUCAUAACUAUUUUCAAAUUCUAAGAGUGUUACAUGAGCUUACCUCCCUAAUAAUCUUCCAAAUAGAAAAUAUAUUAAUUUAUCAACUGCACAUAACCAAACAAAGUAUCUAUUUUUGCCGCACUUUCGAUUACAUCCAACCAAAUAAUCUUAUAUAAUUAUAGCGAACAAGGCUCCUAUACUAUCUCUAGUAUUGAAACUCCAGUAAUAUAGUCUCGUUUUUUAUUUUAGUAUGUCUAAAUUAAUGAUCUACAUCGUUAAAUAUGAUCUAGGGUAUAUGAAGUUCUCAGAAAUAAAAUUUUAAUUUUUUUUUUUAUAUCGUUUACUUAGUAAGCAAAUCAUUUUAAAAUAAACGGUAGAAAUUGAACAAUCUUUAAAAUUUUGAGGAUAGGACUUAUAAAUUCAAGAUCAAGAAUGCUGAUCUCGAUCUAGAUAGUUUAAAAUAUUUUCUAUCAAAAUUUGAAUAAAUUUAUAUUUUUCUACACCGUUAAACUACAAACUUGCUAUAGUAGCCAUUUAAAAUUGAUAAUUUUGAAAUAGUUUGAUCAUAAAGUUUAUUUUUAAAAACUCCAAAUACUUUAGAUCAAUUUUAACGGUGUGAAUCAUUAAACCCUAAGAUCGAAAAUGAGACUAUAGUAUGGGUGCCCUAUACUAUAGAUAUUAUAGGAGGCUAUAUCUAAUUAUAACUAUUAUAUUUUCAUCUGCGUACGUCUCAAACUAUAGUUUUAUAAAAGUGAAAAAAGUGAAAAAAAAAAGUCACUUUUAUAAAACUGAUUUUUAUAAAAGUGACUUUUCAGUUCGAUUGUUUAAUUGACUAUAAAAUAAAAUAUAAAAACUAUAGUUUAUAAAAACUAUAGUUUAUAAAAUAUAAAAACUAUAGUUUAUAUUUAUAUUUAUAUUAAAAUUUUAUUUUGAAAUUAAAAUUUAAACUUAAACUGAGUUGAAUUUAUAAUUAAAAUUUAAGGCAUAAAAAUAAUAAAGAUAAAAAAAUAAAUUUAAAUAAAAUAAAGUCACAAAUUUAAAUAAAAAGUCAAAAUGUUAUUAUAUUCAAAUUUAAAUAAAAAUAAAUAUUUAAAUAUUUAAAUUUAAAAUAAAGUUGCAAAUUUGAAUUUAGAAAUUUUUUAUCGAAUUUGAAUUAAAAUAAAUUAACUUCAGAAUGUGAUUAUGAUUUUAAUUCAAAUUUAAAGUGAAAUUCAACUUUAAAAGUAAAAUCAAUUAUUAAAGUUAAGACCAAAUAUAACCUCUUAAUUAAGUUUCUCCACUUUCAGUGACUUUCGAAAAUUUUGAACCGAAGUAAAAAAAGUGAAAUUUAGUUAUAAUAAUUUACUUUACCAGCCCACUUUUGUAAAUUAAAUUUUAUAUUCACUUUCACAAAUCAAACAACCCAUAAGAAGUCAACUUUAGAAUUAAUUUUAUACAGGUCCCUGCUAACAUAGUGAAUGACAAAUAUAUACCUACAAAGUUCAACUUUUGUAUUCAUAUGUUGUCCCUACAAAAGUUCUAAUAUUUUCAAAUAUGUCACUCUGGUUUGUUACCGUUAGAGAACCAUUUAUAUUUUCAAUUUUGCUAUUACAAAUUAAUAUGUCCCCUCAAAAACCGUAAUAGUAUAAUAUAAGAGGGGUAAAAAUAUAAAAAACAAACAAGAGUUAAGUAUUUAACUUAUGGUUAACUAAAUUUUUUUAACGGAUUCUAACCGCAUAAACAUAUUUGAAAAAAUUAAAACUUUUAUAGAGACAACAUAUGAAAGUUAAACUUUGUAGGGAUAUAUUUUCAUUCACUAUGUUUGUAAAGACCUGUAUAGAAUUAAUUAUUUUAAAAAUAUUACUUUCGAUACUUUACUUUUGGCCAGUAUAAAAUUAAUUCUUUUAAAAAUAUCAUUUUCAAUACUUUACUUUCGGCCAACGAAUUAAAUAUGCCCUAUAAUUUAAAUGCAUGCAUGCAUUUU